Molecule: long non-coding RNA, 240 nt
Filed under: Elaeis guineensis (African oil palm)
Lineage: Eukaryota; Viridiplantae; Streptophyta; Magnoliopsida; Arecales; Arecaceae
Description: long non-coding RNA (EGUI_LNC026121)
Source: RNAcentral
CCUUCUUCUUCCUCUUUCUCUCCUAUCUCAUCAAGGAAGCUCAAGUCUAAGUUCAGAAAAUGCACAACCACCUUCCGAUGGUAGAUAUCCAAGUUGGUACUGAAGGCCUCAUGAUUGAAGAUACAUUUCUCCUCUGAAAACUUAGCAGACGCAUGGAAGGCUUCCAUAGCCAUGCAUCCGGCUUUGGCAGUCUGAUCCUUGGCCUUCUUCUCAACAUCGACAGCUUUGGCCUGCGCCUCC